Long non-coding RNA from Nematostella vectensis (starlet sea anemone), 350 nucleotides. RefSeq lists it as uncharacterized. Lineage: Eukaryota; Metazoa; Cnidaria; Anthozoa; Actiniaria; Edwardsiidae. The record is from RefSeq and is a predicted model, not a curated record. The transcript has 4 exons.
GUUCUAUUCUCAUGCAGAUGCUCUCGCCGUACCAAGCCAGUGGGUAGAACCGAACGAAUCGAGCAUCAAAGAACUUGGUCAACCAGUGGAUCUUGACGCUGUCCUUGUCGAUAUUCCCGACAAAUGCCUUUGAAAGCCGAUGGAAAGGGAAGCUUUUCUACGCUUGGUACAUUGCUGGAAUGAGAAGAUGACGGCUGUUGUUUGAAUCUAAAAAGGACCAGACGAAGUCGAUCCCCAGGGCUCUCCUGCAAGAUGACAAGACAGCAUUUUAAACUCCGAUCCGCCACUGCUUUAAAAUCGCGUAACAGCCAUAUAACUCCAUACGCAAACAAUUUGUCAACCCGUUCCAG